RNAcentral lists this antisense RNA (88 nucleotides) under Vibrio stylophorae. RNAcentral describes it as "V_AS9". It matches the Rfam family "Vibrio RNA AS9". From Rfam's summary of the family: Identified by direct cloning an parallel sequencing experiments with 5S/tRNA depletion. Confirmed by Northern blot. The record is from RNAcentral. Lineage: Bacteria; Pseudomonadati; Pseudomonadota; Gammaproteobacteria; Vibrionales; Vibrionaceae.
UUGGUCAUGGUCAAACAGAUCAAACCGCGGCCGUUGGUGGCCAUAAAGUUGAUCGCUUCUGGCGUAAUAUGCUCCGCCGCCAUGAUUA